This is a long non-coding RNA of Balaenoptera musculus (blue whale), 585 nucleotides long. RefSeq lists it as uncharacterized. The record is from RefSeq and is a predicted model, not a curated record. Lineage: Eukaryota; Metazoa; Chordata; Mammalia; Artiodactyla; Balaenopteridae. The transcript has 4 exons.
AACAGAGAGAAAUUAUUUUUUGGCACUGGAGAAGACGUGAGUUUGUAUAUUUAAAGACUGCAAAGACUUGCUAAUGAUGACCAUAACAUUUCUUAUAGAUAAGUUAUAACCAAGAUGCUAAGCUGUACCUGCAGCGGGGGAAGGAGGGACUGCGGAACAGCCUCUUGUUUCCAGAAAAGAAUUGUUCCAGAAAGAUCAGAAAGGAAAGGUAAUUAUGAAGAGAAGCUGAAUCAGAAGAUGGAGUAGACUGUAUUUCUAGCUCCAAGAUGUUAGCUGGACAUCUGGGCAGAGCCUCCUCAGUGCCUCUCAUCGUGAGGACGUGGACUGCCAUCCUCUCUCUGUCCCACCUGUCCCUGCCCGUCCACCAUUCUCCUUCUUGCUGAUCCAGCUUCUCACGUGCCGCAGGACAAAGAAGCUGUGAAAUGAAAAUCCUGGCAAAUUGCCAAAGGUAGUAAAACUAUUUAAUGACAGAAUUGGAAGCAGAACACAUCAUGCCUGCCUCCCAACCCAGUGCAAACAGAUACGUGUAUUUCUACAAGUUUUCAGGCUAUGGUUACCUAGAGAUUAUUUGUGAAGAGAUUUAUG